This 109-nucleotide non-coding RNA is filed under the name human gut metagenome. RNAcentral's name for it is "FMN riboswitch (RFN element)". It matches the Rfam family "FMN riboswitch aptamer (RFN element)". Rfam says of the family: The RFN element is a highly conserved domain that is found frequently in the 5'-untranslated regions of prokaryotic mRNAs that encode for flavin mononucleotide (FMN) biosynthesis and transport proteins. This element is a metabolite-dependent riboswitch that directly binds FMN in the absence of proteins. The record is from RNAcentral.
UGUCUUCAGGGCGGGGCGAAAUUCCCCACCGGCGGUAAAGUCCGCGAACGCGCAAGCGCCGAAUCGGUGUGAUUCCGAUACCGACAGUAUAGUCUGGAUGGAAGAAGAU